GAAGGGAAUGCUUAUCACGGGCAACUGAAAUUGUUCUUUAUUGCAGUCAUUGUCUCCACCACUGUUAGAUCCUCAGUAUCAUGGUUGUGCUCUGAAUCUCCAAGCAAAUCAUAUUGGUUGAGAUGAUUGACUGAAACUUAGAGUUGUCAGGUUUGACAGAGCCGUACGUAAUCAUAUCAGCAUUCUUAAUUCAAAGCGACCAUGGUUUCAACAGCUUGGAGUUCUCACAUACUGACCACUUAGACUACAGAACAACAUGAUCUACAUUGCCUUGCUUGGUGGUGGCCAUGUCAAUGUUUCGGUUAUUAGGUCUAACAUCAAUGUGGAAUUUCCCUGCCUAAGAAUGUGACUUUGAUAUUAGGAGGUCAAGUCAAUUUUUUUUUCUUCAUUAUUAGUUAGAGUUGCUAAAACAGGUAGAAUCUUGGCAGAACGAUCACAACGGAACUGAUAACCAACGUAAGGACAAUAUAAGCAGCACCGGCAUGCAGCUGGAGGGACUUGUUCUUUGUUGUUGCUGCUGCUGCUGUACGGUGAAGGGUAGGCAGCAAAAAAGGUUUGUAGAGCUGUAGAAAGAGGUGAGUGGAAGUCCUAAAUGGUGCUCAUGUUUGGAUCGCCGAAGUACUGAUAAUUUGUGAAAUCUUGAAUAUGCUGUAUGAUCUUGAAUACUGAGUCG
This 673-nucleotide ribosomal RNA is filed under the name Triticum aestivum (bread wheat). RNAcentral's name for it is "partial small subunit ribosomal RNA". The record is from RNAcentral. Lineage: Eukaryota; Viridiplantae; Streptophyta; Magnoliopsida; Poales; Poaceae.